AUUGAACGCUGGCGGCAUGCUUUACACAUGCAAGUCGAACGGUAACAGGCCGCAAGGUGCUGACGAGUGGCGAACGGGUGAGUAAUGCAUCGGAACGUGCCCAGUCGUGGGGGAUAACUACUCGAAAGAGUAGCUAAUACCGCAUACGAUCUAUGGUUGAAAGCGGGGGACCGUAAGGCCUCGCGCGAUUGGAGCGGCCGAUGUCAGAUUAGGUAGUUGGUAGGGUAAAGGCUCACCAAGCCAACGAUCUGUAGCUGGUCUGAGAGGACAACCAGCCACACUGGGACUGAGACACGGCCCAGACUCCUACGGGAGGCAGCAGUGGGGAAUUUUGGACAAUGGGCGCAAGCCUGAUCCAGCAAUGCCGCGUGCAGGAAGAAGGCCUUCGGGUUGUAAACUGCUUUUGUACGGAACGAAACGGCUCUGGUUAAUACCCGGGGCUAAUGACGGUACCGUAAGAAUAAGCACCGGCUAACUACGUG
This 482-nucleotide ribosomal RNA is filed under the name uncultured bacterium. Its description in RNAcentral is "partial 16S ribosomal RNA". It matches the Rfam family "Bacterial small subunit ribosomal RNA", at positions 30 to 507 of the family's 1533-position model. The record is from RNAcentral.